Molecule: long non-coding RNA, 689 nt
Organism: Bos taurus (domestic cattle)
Lineage: Eukaryota; Metazoa; Chordata; Mammalia; Artiodactyla; Bovidae
Source: Ensembl
CAGGGUUCCCCACGCAGGCCUGAGGCGGGUGCGGGAGGAGGGCGCUGAAAACCCCGGUGCUCCGCGGGCCUCCAGCAGCCUCGCCGCCCCCGCCCCGCCCGGCGGCGGCGCUCACCACGGGGCGAGAAGCCUCCUGGGAGAGUUGGCCAAGGCCCUGCCGAGACCCCCAGACCCGGGCCUCUCCGCUCCUCUGUGAUGGAGGGGUGGGCGGCUAGUGCUAACUCCAAGCGUGACCCCGAAGGCUCACCCUCCUGGGAGGUCCGGCCCAUGGACCCUGCGGGAUUCCGGCAGGGACAGGAUCCCUGAGGGUCGUGGAGGCCGCUAACCAGAGCAGAGGGGUCCCGGAACGUUCCUUUUCCUCCCUCUGAGAAUAAAAGCAGCUCCUCCAAAAUAAGGGCUGAGGUUGACCUCCAUACCUGCCUUCUGCCUGGAAACCACUGCAGUCAGGAAGGUGAAGGUCUGUGACGAGGCAGCCCCUGGUGGGAAAGGACGACGGCCUGAACAGCCUCAGGCCGCCCACCCCAGGCUCCCCUGUCCCCUGACGGCCACCUCCCAGUCCCUGGGCCUCUGAGGGCUCACCUGAGACCUACUCGCCCACGGGGAGCACCCCCUCUCUUGCAACGUCUAUGGCUGCUUGAGACCACGAGCCACCUCUUCCGCGGGACUGGCCUUGGCCUUGAGCUCUGAUG